UUCUAAACUUUUUUAUAUUAGAGUUCAGAUUUCAUGUACAUUUUCUUUAAAGGUACAUUUUAUAACACAAGGAUUUGAUUCUUUUGAAGCCCCAGCAGCAGCCCUCGACAUGUUUCGGAGUGAGAAUGUCACUAAGACGCAAAUGCAUUCCCAGUGGUCUUUUAAUUAUGAUUUUGCCGUUUUUGGCCUAAAUCAAAAAACCUGUGUUGUUUUCUUGGACAUAGUUUUUGCAGAGUAACAGGAGUUCAUUAGACAUUCAGUACGUCUUGUCUUAUCUUAUUCUUUUACCUUUUCUUUUCUAGGGGGGUGACCAGGAGGCUCCUCAUCUCUGGGACACGUUCCUUUCACUCUAGCUGCUCUGGAGGAGCUUCCAGAAAGUUUGGAUGCCGCCCCUGCAGGUAUCCUGCUCAGCCCCAUUGAUAAGACCCCCGGGAUUUGGAGCAAUUUGCAACCUUGAGACAAACAAACACCGGCCUCUGGAGGCUCACGCAGCGUCUGUGAGGGAAGAACAGACGAGGAUUUUGUCUUUGUUCACAGGCGAGGCUUCUCUGAUGGUUGCCAUGGAGACCAGACUCAUUUCUGCUGUCUGAUAAAGAGCAGGCGGUCCACUGGAGCACGCGCCCGCUCACUGACACACUGACACACUUGCUGCCACCAGCAGGAUCCAUCUUUAACACACGUCUAAGCCCCAUCUGUGACAUGAGGGGGUGUUUCUGCAGAAGAACAGGUCCAGUUUCCUCUUCUCCCGCUGAAGUUGCUGCAGGUUUUAGCCUCGACUGGAAAGCCUGACUUCCUUCGUGAAGGACGUGAGCAGAAUCGAGCUGCAGAGAAGGCUGAGGGGGAUUCUGCAUGUCUCCUCUGACCUACAUUCACUCUAUUUUCUGUGACCUCUACGUGCAGAAAGCAUUACAUGAUGAUUAUGUGCGUGCAGACAUGUGGGCUCAGAUACACCCGGUGUCUGCACACUGCAGCUACUUGAUCAGUGGUUUGAAUCCAAGGCUGGACGCCGUUUUGUUUCAAAAUGAAAAAUCUCAAUGAAUUUUUAUCACUGCAUAUUAAUGUAACCCUUAUAUUGUGUUUGGGUCAAAACUGACCUGUUUUCACUGUUGAAAAUGGCUGCAUUGUUAGGCAGUAGCGGGAAGAGUCUUGCCUAAGGACCCACACUGGAUUCAGCUGAUUGCUCCCCAACUGGAAAUUAAACCCUGGUUCAUCAUACACUAGUCCUACAUGCAGCCUACAAAGGCAUAUACCACUCAAAUCCCUGCAUCUCAUGUAUAAAACUAGGAAGGACCAAAGCUACAGUUCCAGAUGUCCACUACAGACUGGUUUCAAAUACAAAACAUUUGCUACAGACUAAAAUGUUAAAAAUGUUACAACAAAAAUCAACUAAUGUACAACCUUGUUUAUUUUUACAUUUAUUUUUCCUACUUAUGCCAAGGGCACGAUUUUUAAUUUAAUUAAAUUGUAUCUAUUUUUUUAAUGUGAGCACUCACUUUCACCAUUAGACUCCUCUGAUGGAAUGUUGAUCCAGCUAAAAAGGCCACUUCCUGUUUGGGCAGCAGAGAAAAGUCAUUGGAGCCAGAACAAUUCACCAGCUAACCACCAGGUGGCUUGUUAUACAAGCAGAUCAAUCCCUGCUCUCUCCAAAGUAAAUCAGACAAAACUCAAAUCCAAAAUAAACUCACUGACUCUGUGAUGGUAAAACUUUUAUUUUGUUAACUCCAGAGCCUUUGCAGACGACAGCAAAAAAAUAAAUAAUUCUUUGAACAACUGGAACUCUUUGACCUUUAUGCAAUUUACGUUAUUCCAACAGAUUCUUAUACUGCAAAAGCGGCAAAGCUUUUUUUCGUGUCAGAAUCAGCUGAUUGACGUUCAUUGCAUAAACACUUCACUACUGUAAAGCGUUGCAAAUCAACGCAAGGCUGCGCUUCUCCUCUUUAGAAUCCUCUGGAAUUACAUUAAUCGUGUAGAUAGUUGAAGAGUUACCGUAGUUAAAAAAAACACUAGAGCUACAGCUCUGAUGGUAAAGGUUUCAUGUUCUGCAGCUGGAAUUGGUCCCUCAGCUCUGGUUAAUCUCAACGGACAUCACAUCAGAUAAGACCAAGAUGGCAACAAUGACCGAACUGAAACGCUGUCUUAAAAUCAGCCCAAAACAAACCACUGAGUGAUGCCGCACAGUUUAUGUCUUUGUAUUCACGUUAAUCUGUCACUGUACGUCAAGAUAAUUCAGAUCUACAUAACAAAGAAAGCAGAACUUACUUAAUUAUUGAAAGUUUCAAUUUAUGAAUAGUUUCACCGUUAACGUAAACAUUUGUGUGUGAGCUGUGUGUGAGCUGUGUGUUAAUUGUGUGUGACCUGUGUGCUAGUUGUGUGUGAGUUGUGAGUUAGUUGUUUGUGAGCUGUGUGUGAGUUGUGUGUCAGCUGUGUGUGAGUUGUGAGUUAGUUGUUUGUGAGCUGUGUGUGAGUUGUGUGUGAGUGUGAGUUAGUUGUGAGUUAGUUGUGUGUUCGUUGUGUGCGAGCUGUGUGUGAGCUGUGUGUGAGUUGUGUGUGAGUGUGAGUUAGUUGUCGGUCAGAUGUGUGUGAGUUGUGUGUGAGUGUGAGUUAGUUGUCGGUCAGAUGUGUGUGAGUUGUGUGUGAGCUGUGUGUGAGUUGUGUGUGAGUUGUGUGUGAGUGUGGGUUAGUUGUGUGUGAGUUGUGUGUCAGCUGUGUGUGAGUGUGAGUUAGUUGUGUGUCAGCUGUGUGUGAGUGUGAGUUAGUUGUGAGUUAGUUGUGUGUCAGCUGUGUGUGAGCUGUGGAUGCUGGUUCCACAGAGUUUCUAUGUGCACAGCUGCACCUGCAGGGCCUCCAUACCAACAAAGAGCUGGAAGCUGAACCCACAUGGGACACUCCCCCUCUUCCUCCUCCUCGUCUUCACUUUAUUUUCCACACAACAAUCAGGUCAAGGGUCAAGGUGGUGUGUUUGUGUACGAAUACUUUUCGUAAACACAACUUAGCUGGUAACAUCCCUUAAUUGUCAUGGUGACAGCAGGGCACUGGAUCUAACAUCAGCAAAGAUUCAUUGGCUGUUAAGUAUUGUAUUUACUCCUCCACAAUGUUUACAUGCUAUAAAUGAGGGAAAUAAAAUGUAAAACUGUUUACGUAGUUAGGUGCUCAUCCAAAGGUUAAAAGCUAACCAAGUUAGCUAACUAAGUUUAAUGCUGAUGUGAAGACUAAGGUUGUGUCUGAAUUCCUUCACUACGCACUACAUAGUACACUAUGUAGUGCGUUCACCAUUCUGUAGCACUGUCUGAAUCGACAAUUCCAAAAAACGAGUGCCCUAGAAAUUUCCCAGAAGUCUCUGUGAAAAAUAAAGACCACUGUGCAUUGUGUUUGCAAGAUUUUUGCAACGUUUUCAUCUUCAGAACACAGUAGAAUUAUAAAUGAUCAUUGCAAAACGCUCAAAUCAACUAGAUUUUCACUUUGUAAAAUCGAUGAAGUGAUAUUUGCUUUAAAAAAAUUUUAAAAAGCAGUGAGCUUGGUGACUGAACUGCUUUUCAAGUCCAGUCCACUCGAUAGUUCGGCACCAUCUCGUUUUUUCAGGGGUUAGGGAGGGAAUUUGGACACAGCAGCCAUGAACUUCUGUUUACACGAUGGGAGUGAAACUCAUAUCUGUCCGAUCAUUUUCACAAACACACAUAGAAAAACACGCUGCAUCCUGCUUUUUUGGCGCUCUUUGUGUCUUUAGGCUGCAUUGUGGGCAUUGAUUUGUGCUUUCAGCUCUGACUGCAGGGGAACCUGAUCAGGAUAACGCUAAAAAUACCUCUUCCUUCCUCUCAGUCAGAACCUCGCAUCACAUCCUGUCCAACGCAGUGGAGCUUCAUCCUCACUCAUCUUAACUUUCCUCAAAAGCCUCUUUACAAAUUUUGUCAUCUGCUGAAACAGAUGUUAGAUUUAUUGAAAGAAAUUUAAGGGAAUUCUUUUUUUUACCAAUUUCAAUAACCAAAUUGUUUUAUGUUAGAUUUAACUUCUAAAUGUUUCUAAAACUCAUUUCAGAGAGGAUUUUAGAACAAAAAAAACAUUAUUUUUCGACACUUUUAAGUUGUUUCAGUGACCAACUACAGUUUUGUUUAAAUAACUGAUGAGAACCAACAGUUUUUCUAUGUCUACAUAUGUAAUCAACCAAUUUGCAGAGUGAGGAUCUCCAGUUCUUCUUUUUCUUCUGUGAACAUUUUUUUAAUUGCAGUGUUGGAGGAUCUUGCUGCUGCUUUAAUCCUGAAAAUAAUCCAAAGAAAUCAAAAAAUAGUAAAUAAUCUCAUCAAACAUGACAAAAGCCCUACAUUACAUUCAUUUACAGUCACUUUUAGUUCCACAUAU
Molecule: long non-coding RNA, 4353 nt
Organism: Oryzias sinensis (Chinese medaka)
Lineage: Eukaryota; Metazoa; Chordata; Actinopteri; Beloniformes; Adrianichthyidae
Source: Ensembl